UUGAACGCUGGCGGCAUGCUUUACACAUGCAAGUCGAACGGCAGCACGAAAGAGCUUGCUCUUUUGGUGGCGAGUGGCGAACGGGUGAGUAAUGCAUCGGAACGUACCGAGUAAUGGGGGAUAACUGUCCGAAAGGAUAGCUAAUACCGCAUACGCUUUGAGAAGGAAAGUGGGGGCUCUUCGGACCUCACGUUAUUCGAGCGGCCGAUGUCUGAUUAGCUAGUUGGUGGGGUAAAGGCCUACCAAGGCGACGAUCAGUAGCGGGUCUGAGAGGAUGAUCCGCCACACGGGGACUGAGACACGGCCCAGACUCCUACGGGAGGCAGCAGUGGGGAAUUUUGGACAAAGGGCGCAAGCCUGAUCCAGCCAUGCCGCGUGUCUGAAGAAGGCCUUCGGGUUGUAAAGGACUUUUGUUAGGGAAGAAAAGGAUAGUGUUAAUACCAUUAUCUGCUGACGGUACCUAAAGAAUAAGCACCGGCUAACUACGUG
This 489-nucleotide ribosomal RNA is filed under the name uncultured bacterium. RNAcentral's name for it is "partial 16S ribosomal RNA". It matches the Rfam family "Bacterial small subunit ribosomal RNA", at positions 30 to 507 of the family's 1533-position model. The record is from RNAcentral.